This is a non-coding RNA of Caenorhabditis elegans, 21 nucleotides long. Lineage: Eukaryota; Metazoa; Nematoda; Chromadorea; Rhabditida; Rhabditidae. The record is from Ensembl.
UUGUUGUGUUGUGACUACAAU